This 2906-nucleotide ribosomal RNA is filed under the name Providencia sp. 21OH12SH02B-Prov. RNAcentral describes it as "23S ribosomal RNA". It matches the Rfam family "Bacterial large subunit ribosomal RNA". The record is from RNAcentral. Lineage: Bacteria; Pseudomonadati; Pseudomonadota; Gammaproteobacteria; Enterobacterales; Morganellaceae.
GGUUAAGCGACUAAGCGUACACGGUGGAUGCCUAGGCAAUCAGAGGCGAUGAAGGACGUGCUAAUCUGCGAAAAGCGUCGGUAAGGUGAUAUGAACCGCUAUAACCGACGAUGUCCGAAUGGGGAAACCCAGUGCAAUUCGUUGCACUAUCGUUUGAUGAAUCCAUAGUCAAACGAGGCGAACCGAGGGAACUGAAACAUCUCAGUACCUCGAGGAAAAGAAAUCAACCGAGAUUCCCCUAGUAGCGGCGAGCGAACGGGGAGCAGCCCAGAGUCUUAAUCAGCAUCAGCAUCAGGAGAACGGUCUGGAAAGUCCGGCAGUAAAGGGUGAUAGCCCCGUAUCCGAAGGUGUUGGUGUUGUGAACUCGACGAGUAGGGCGGGACACGUGUUAUCCUGUCUGAAUAUGGGGGGACCAUCCUCCAAGGCUAAAUACUCCUGAUUGACCGAUAGUGAACCAGUACCGUGAGGGAAAGGCGAAAAGAACCCCGGCGAGGGGAGUGAAAUAGAACCUGAAACCGUGUACGUACAAGCAGUGGGAGCACCUUUUAGGUGUGACUGCGUACCUUUUGUAUAAUGGGUCAGCGACUUAUAUUCUGUAGCAAGGUUAACCGUAUAGGGGAGCCGUAGGGAAACCGAGUCUUAACUGGGCGAAUAAGUUGCAGGGUAUAGACCCGAAACCCGGUGAUCUAGCCAUGGGCAGGUUGAAGGUUGGGUAACACUAACUGGAGGACCGAACCGACUAAUGUUGAAAAAUUAGCGGAUGACUUGUGGCUGGGGGUGAAAGGCCAAUCAAACCGGGAGAUAGCUGGUUCUCCCCGAAAGCUAUUUAGGUAGCGCCUCGUGAACUCAUCUUCGGGGGUAGAGCACUGUUUCGGCUAGGGGGUCAUCCCGACUUACCAACCCGAUGCAAACUACGAAUACCGAAGAAUGUUAUCACGGGAGACACACGGCGGGUGCUAACGUUCGUCGUGAAGAGGGAAACAACCCAGACCGCCAGCUAAGGUCCCAAAGUUAUGGUUAAGUGGGAAACGAAGUGGGAAGGCUCAGACAGCCAGGAUGUUGGCUUAGAAGCAGCCAUCAUUUAAAGAAAGCGUAAUAGCUCACUGGUCGAGUCGGCCUGCGCGGAAGAUGUAACGGGGCUAAACCAUGCACCGAAGCUGCGGCAGCGACAUUUAGAUGUUGUUGGGUAGGGGAGCGUUCUGUAAGCCUGUGAAGGUGUGCUGUGAGGCAUGCUGGAGGUAUCAGAAGUGCGAAUGCUGACAUAAGUAACGAUAAUGCGGGUGAAAAACCCGCACGCCGGAAGACCAAGGGUUCCUGUCCAACGUUAAUCGGGGCAGGGUGAGUCGACCCCUAAGGCGAGGCAGAAAUGCGUAGUCGAUGGGAAACAGGUUAAUAUUCCUGUACUGGUGAUAAUUGCGAUGGGGGGACGGAGAAGGCUAGGCUGGCCGGGCGACGGUUGUCCCGGUUUAAGGAUGUAGGCAGGUGAAUUAGGCAAAUCCGGUUCACUACAUGCUGAGGUCUGAUGACGAGUCACUACGGUGGCGAAGUAGCUCAUGCCCCGCUUCCAGGAAAAGCCUCUAAGCUCUAGAUUAUCAUUAAUCGUACCCCAAACCGACACAGGUGGUCAGGUAGAGAAUACUCAGGCGCUUGAGAGAACUCGGGUGAAGGAACUAGGCAAAAUGGUGCCGUAACUUCGGGAGAAGGCACGCUGGCGCUAGGUGAAGUCCCUCGCGGAUGGAGCUGAAGCCAGUCGCAGAUACCAGCUGGCUGCAACUGUUUAUUAAAAACACAGCACUGUGCAAACACGAAAGUGGACGUAUACGGUGUGACGCCUGCCCGGUGCUGGAAGGUUAAUUGAUGGGGUUAUCCGUAAGGAGAAGCUCUUGAUCGAAGCCCCAGUAAACGGCGGCCGUAACUAUAACGGUCCUAAGGUAGCGAAAUUCCUUGUCGGGUAAGUUCCGACCUGCACGAAUGGCGUAAUGAUGGCCAGGCUGUCUCCACCCGAGACUCAGUGAAAUUGAACUCGCUGUGAAGAUGCAGUGUACCCGCGGCAAGACGGAAAGACCCCGUGAACCUUUACUAUAGCUUGACACUGAACAUUGAGCCUUGAUGUGUAGGAUAGGUGGGAGGCUUUGAAGUGUGGACGCCAGUCUGCAUGGAGCCAACCUUGAAAUACCACCCUUUAAUGUUUGAUGUUCUAACGUGGCCCCAUCAUCUGGGGUGCGGACAGUGUCUGGUGGGUAGUUUGACUGGGGCGGUCUCCUCCCAAAGAGUAACGGAGGAGCACGAAGGUUGGCUAAGCAUGGUCGGACAUCAUGCGGUUAGUGCAAAGGCAUAAGCCAGCUUGACUGCGAGAGUGACGGCUCGAGCAGGUACGAAAGUAGGUCUUAGUGAUCCGGUGGUUCUGAAUGGAAGGGCCAUCGCUCAACGGAUAAAAGGUACUCCGGGGAUAACAGGCUGAUACCGCCCAAGAGUUCAUAUCGACGGCGGUGUUUGGCACCUCGAUGUCGGCUCAUCACAUCCUGGGGCUGAAGUAGGUCCCAAGGGUAUGGCUGUUCGCCAUUUAAAGUGGUACGCGAGCUGGGUUUAGAACGUCGUGAGACAGUUCGGUCCCUAUCUGCCGUGGGCGUUGGAAGAUUGAAAGGGGCUGCUCCUAGUACGAGAGGACCGGAGUGGACGCACCACUGGUGUUCGGGUUGUCAUGCCAAUGGCACUGCCCGGUAGCUAAGUGCGGAAGAGAUAACCGCUGAAAGCAUCUAAGCGGGAAACUUGCCUUGAGAUGAGUCUUCCCUGACUCUUUAAGGGUCCUAAAGGAACGUUUAAGACUAAGACGUUGAUAGGCUGGGUGUGUAAGCGUAGCGAUACGUUGAGCUAACCAGUACUAAUGAACCGUGAGGCUUAACCUG